This is an RNA transcript of Medicago truncatula (barrel medic), 2738 nucleotides long. It is a transcript of the gene named pentatricopeptide repeat-containing protein At5g08305, with no coding region annotated. Lineage: Eukaryota; Viridiplantae; Streptophyta; Magnoliopsida; Fabales; Fabaceae. The transcript is spliced from 4 exons. The record is from RefSeq and is a predicted model, not a curated record.
CUCCUUUAGAGUCUAAGGUCAUGAUCUCAAACUCUUGUCAAGACUCCCAAACUAACACCCAACUCGGUGCCCACUCCUUGUUCGUAUUUCACACCUUCACCCGCGGCGAACAACAACUUACUCCAAGCACGUACUUAUACGUUGUGGUGUGGGCACACUCUCGUCUCUACUUGUCUGCAUUCCAAACGUUACAAAUUGGCCAUUUCUCUUUUACGCUCUCUACAAGGUUUUACUCGGAUGAUACAUACACUAAAAGUGUUGGACUUGGGGGUGUGACAAAAUAGAUAUAGCUGUAAAUGCUUGGUGUGUCACCGUCGUGUAAAACUGCAAAUAUAAAUGGAACUUUGCUCAGCCUCCUUGAUAAAUGCAAAUCAAUGCUUGAACUGAAGAAACUUCAUGCUAUUGGGAUUUCUUAUGGUUUAUCUCAUGAAUACUCAUUUAUAUUCAAAAUUCUUUCUUUUUCCGCUCUAUCCAAUUCAGGCGACAUUGAUUAUUCCUACAGGGUUUUCUCCCAGAUUUCCAGUCCAACAAUUUUUAGCUGGAAUAUAAUCAUAAGAGGCUAUUCAAAUAGCAAAAAUCCAAUCCAUUCCCUGUCUAUUUUUCUAAAGAUGUUGCGGCAUGGGGUUGCACCAGACUACUUAACAUACCCAUUUCUCGUGAAGGCCUCAGCACGCCUUUCAAAACAGAAAAGUGGUGUGUCGGUGCAUGCCCAAAUUAUAAAAACUGGGCAUGAGUCUGAUCGAUUUAUCCAGAAUUCUUUGAUUCACAUGUAUGCUUCUUGUGGGAAUAUCAUGUGGGCUCAUAAAGUAUUUGAGAGUAUGCAGGGGAAAAAUUUGGUUUCAUGGAAUUCCAUGUUGGACGGCUAUGCUAAGUGUGGAGAAAUGGCCAUGGCUCAAAAAGUUUUUGAGUCUAUGCAAGAGAGGGAUGUUCGGUCAUGGAGCUCUUUCAUUGAUGGUUAUGUGAAGGCUGGGGAGUACAGGGAAGCUAUGGCUGUCUUUGAAAAGAUGCGGGCUGUUGGUCCCAAAGCCAAUGAAGUGACUAUGGUCAGUGUCUUGUCUGCCUGUGCACACCUUGGUGCUCUACAAAAGGGAAGGAUGAUGCACCAGUACAUUAUUGACAAUCUUUUACCAAUGACAAUGGUCUUACAAACUUCUCUGGUGGACAUGUAUGCUAAAUGCGGGGCAAUAGAGGAGGCUUUGUUUGUUUUUCGCGGCAUCUCUAAGAGUCAAACCGAUGUGUUCAUUUGGAACGCAAUGAUUGGUGGUCUUGCUACACAUGGGUUAGUGGAAGAAUCUCUUAAAUUGUUUAAGGAAAUGCAAAUGGCCGGUAUCCGGUCUGAUGAGAUCACAUACCUCUGUCUGUUGGCUGCUUGUGCCCAUGGAGGACUAGUUAAAGAAGCAUGGAACUUCUUUGAGAGCCUUGUAAAACGUGGCAUGACACCUACAAGUGAGCACUAUGCUUGCAUGGUAGAUGUGCUGGCGCGUGCAGGUCAAUUAACCACCGCAUACCAAUUUAUAUGUCAAAUACCCAUAGAACCAACGGCUUCCAUGUUAGGUGCUAUUUUUAGCGGGUGCAUCAACCAUAGAAAUUUUGAUCUUGCAGAAACAGUCGGCAGGAAGCUUAUUGAGCUAGAUCCAAACAAUGAUGGAAGAUAUAUUGGCCUGUCAAAUGUUUAUGCAGUUGUCAAACGCUGGGAUGAUUCAAAAAGCAUGAGAGAAGCCAUGGAGAGAAGAGGGGUGAAAAAAUCACCCGGGUUUAGUUUUGUUGAAAUAUCUGAGAUCCAUCAUAGAUUUAUUGCUCACGAUAAAACACACCCUGAUUCAGAUGAAACUUAUUCUAUGCUACAUUUUGUUGUCUGUCAAAUGAAACAUGGUUGUCCCCAAGACAAUCAGGAGGAUAAUUUGUUGAAUGAUACAUCAAUUGAAGAUGAUUUGAUUCUCUUUGAGUAGAUUGCAUUAAUGUCUGUAGCAGUUAACAUUUGUUGUGGAAGAGUUAUUGCACAGAACCUGGAUUUUAAUCAAAAAGUGACAAAAUAGCAGUGCCAGAGUAUUGACAUGGAUACUUUUUGCUAAUCUUUUCUUGUAUAACAAACCAUGAAGACCACAAGAGGCUACCUGCAGUCAGAAGUAUUGAACCUAUAAUCCAUUUCUCUAACUUUGCAGCUGGUGGUACACUUGUAUAUGUAUUUGCUACAUGUUGAGACUGUGGGUUGUUAAAGGAAAUUCCUUUAUAAAGGGCUAAUAACAAAACUCCACCAAUGCACACAAUAGUUCCCAAGAUUUUGGCUUUGCCACUCUUGCUUUUCAUGUUCACCUUCUCUAUCCUAGAAAAUUUUCAAACCAAAAGGCACCAUGUUGAGGAAUGCACAAGAGAAUGUGGCAGAUGUAUACUCAAGUCCAAGAAGAAACAAAUAUUGGGGGAGUGUUACACUGAAAAAGUUUAGUCAAUAACUACAGUUAUGACAGUUAAAAAAAUAUUAGUACAGAACUAGAAUUUUAUUCUAUGGUCCCAAGAAUUCAUACCCGAUAAGAGCUGAGAGAAAAAGGAGACAUAUUAUGUGAGCCUCCGGUUUGUGUUUCCUGUAAAAAGUGCAAUACUGUUUUAUAUUGUCCUAGUAUUAUGUAUAGUUCUAGGAUAAAUUAACCUCAAGCUUAUUACUUGACCGUGGAAUAAACAAACACUUGUGUAAGUUAUUUUUAUAAUUUAUGACAAAAUAAAGUUAAAUUGUUUUCGUUUAA